GCCUGGAUAGCUCAGCUGGAUCAGAGCGUGGUGCUGAUAAUACCAAGGUUGCAAGUUCAAGCCCCGUAUGGGACA
Non-coding RNA from Podarcis lilfordi (Lilford's wall lizard), 75 nucleotides. Lineage: Eukaryota; Metazoa; Chordata; Lepidosauria; Squamata; Lacertidae. The record is from the annotation of a GenBank genome assembly.